AGUGAACGCUGGCGGUAGGCCUAACACAUGCAAGUCGAACGGCAGCACAGUAAGAGCUUGCUCUUACGGGUGGCGAGUGGCGGACGGGUGAGGAAUACAUCGGAAUCUACUUUUUCGUGGGGGAUAACGUAGGGAAACUUACGCUAAUACCGCAUACGACCUACGGGUGAAAGGAGGGGAUCUUCGGACCUUGCGCGAUUGAAUGAGCCGAUGUCGGAUUAGCUAGUUGGCGGGGUAAAGGCCCACCAAGGCGACGAUCCGUAGCUGGUCUGAGAGGAUGAUCAGCCCACCUGGACCUGAGACACGGUCCAGACUCCUACGGGAGGCAGCAGUGGGGAAUAUUGGACAAUGGGCGCAAGCCUGAUCCAGCCAUACCGCGUGGGUGAAGAAGGCCUUCGGGUUGUAAAGCCCUUUUGUUGGGAAAGAAAAGCAGCAGGUUAAUACCCCGCUGUUCUGACGGUACCCAAAGAAUAAGCACCGGCUAACUUCGU
Molecule: ribosomal RNA, 491 nt
Filed under: uncultured bacterium
Lineage: Bacteria
Description: partial 16S ribosomal RNA
Rfam family: Bacterial small subunit ribosomal RNA
Source: RNAcentral